GGCCAGCAUCAGUUUGAGUGGUGGGAUAAGAGCAUUGGAAUGUAGCUCUUCGGAGUGUUAUAGCCUUUGUUGAUACCGCUNCUUGGACUNAGGUUCUUCNNCUNAACGCUGGCGUAAU
This 118-nucleotide ribosomal RNA is filed under the name Trigonopsis variabilis. Its description in RNAcentral is "partial 26S rRNA". The record is from RNAcentral. Lineage: Eukaryota; Fungi; Ascomycota; Trigonopsidomycetes; Trigonopsidales; Trigonopsidaceae.